CAGUCGCCACGGUAACACGGAGGGUGCGAGCGUUAAUCGGAAUUACUGGGCGUAAAGCGUACGCAGGCGGUUUGUUAAGUCAGAUGUGAAAUCCCCGAGCUUAACUCGGGAACUGCAUUUGAAACUGGCAGGCUAGAGUCUCGUAGAGGGGGGUAGAAUUCCAGGUGUAGCGGUGAAAUGCGUAGAGAUCUGGAGGAAUACCGGUGGCGAAGGCGGCCCCCUGGACGAAGACUGACGCUCAGGUACGAAAGCGUGGGGAGCAAACAGGAUUAGAUACCCGGGUAGUCCCUGUCUCUUAUAC
This 301-nucleotide ribosomal RNA is filed under the name uncultured bacterium. RNAcentral's name for it is "partial 16S ribosomal RNA". It matches the Rfam family "Bacterial small subunit ribosomal RNA", at positions 509 to 807 of the family's 1533-position model. The record is from RNAcentral.